GCCCGGCUAGCUCAAUCGGUAGAGCGUGAGACUCUUAAAGAGGGAUUACGUCAUCUCAAGGUUGUGGGUUCGACCCCCACGUCGGGCU
This 88-nucleotide transfer RNA is filed under the name Echria macrotheca. Its description in RNAcentral is "tRNA-Lys". It matches the Rfam family "tRNA". From Rfam's summary of the family: Transfer RNA (tRNA) molecules are approximately 80 nucleotides in length. The record is from RNAcentral. Lineage: Eukaryota; Fungi; Ascomycota; Sordariomycetes; Sordariales; Schizotheciaceae.